RNAcentral lists this ribosomal RNA (474 nucleotides) under uncultured bacterium. RNAcentral's name for it is "bacterial SSU rRNA". It matches the Rfam family "Bacterial small subunit ribosomal RNA", at positions 15 to 518 of the family's 1533-position model. The record is from RNAcentral.
GAUCAUGGCUCAGGAUGAACGCUGGCGGCGUGCCUAACACAUGCAAGUCGAGCGAUCUCUCGGAGAAGAGCGGCGGACGGGUGAGUAACGCGUGGGUAACCUGCCCUGUACACACGGAUAACAUACCGAAAGGUAUGCUAAUACGGGAUAAUAUGCUUUAGUCGCAUGGCUGAAGUAUCAAAGCUCCGGCGGUACAGGAUGGACCCGCGUCUGAUUAGCUAGUUGGUGAGGUAAUGGCUCACCAAGGCGACGAUCAGUAGCCGACCUGAGAGGGUGAUCGGCCACAUUGGAACUGAGACACGGUCCAAACUCCUACGGGAGGCAGCAGUGGGGAAUAUUGCACAAUGGGCGAAAGCCUGAUGCAGCAACGCCGCGUGAACGAUGAAGGCCUUCGGGUCGUAAAGCUCUGUCCUCAAGGAAGAUAAUGACGGUACUUGAGGAGGAAGCCCCGGCUAACUACGUGCCAGCCGCGGC